GUGUGUGUAUAUAAGAUGUGUGUAUAUGAGUGUUUUACGUGUGUAUGUAUGAGUGUGUGUGUAUAUAAGAUAUGUGUAUAUGAGUGUUUUGCGUGUGUAUGUAUGAGUGUGUGUUUAUAUAAGAUGUGUGUAUAUGAGUGUUUUACGUGUGUAUGUAUGAGUGUGUGUGUAUAUAAGAUGUGUGUAUAUGAGUGUUUUAGUGUGUGUGUAUAUGAGUGUUUUACGUAUGUGUGUAUGUAUGAGUGUGUGUAUAUAAGAUGUGUGUAUGUAUGAGUGUGUGUGUAUAUAAGAUGUGUGUAUGUAUGAGUGUGUGUGUAUAUGAG
Long non-coding RNA from Oncorhynchus tshawytscha (Chinook salmon), 323 nucleotides. The record is from Ensembl. NCBI's taxonomy places the organism in Eukaryota, Metazoa, Chordata, Actinopteri, Salmoniformes, Salmonidae.